Molecule: long non-coding RNA, 2998 nt
Organism: Felis catus (domestic cat)
Lineage: Eukaryota; Metazoa; Chordata; Mammalia; Carnivora; Felidae
Exons: 2
Source: RefSeq, a predicted model, not a curated record
UGUCCUGAUGCUGUGUCUGGACCAAGCUGUGUGACAUAUUAAAUAACGUAGCCAAAAAACAAAAUACUGAAAGGCAAUACAUUGAAAAAAAUAAAUUGGUUCCAGAGGAACUUCCCAGCCUGAGUCGGCAUGUGAACUGCCUCUCACAUUUCCAGGCAUGUACCACUGCCCAGAACAUUGUCAGGUGUGAGGGUUUCCUCUUCAGGGCUAACCUCAGCAACUCGUGCUGCAGCUUACACCCAAACCUCUCAGUCUGGCUACACAGGAAUGGAGAAUCAUUGCUGGGCUGCUUCUAUCUGACAGAUUCCCAUCAGCCUGAAGCUGGGUGUUCAUUCAGGGGUCUGUGUCCCUGCCACAGAGUAUUGGGCCCCUCUGUCUUUCUGUAGAGGCCUGAUUUCCUACACUUUGAUCUAUGUUUUGACUUUUCUUAGUUCUUUUUUGUUUUUUGUUUUUUUCCUCAAGGGUUGAUUAAGGUAAGGAGAAAGAUAAAACGCAGUUUAAAUGGGGCCUCUAGAAUCUUCUAUGAAGGGGUUGACUUAUUCCAUGUCAACAGAUAUAUAGAUUUCCCCCAAAGAUUUCCUUUCCUCAGGGCUCCUAAGCUUGUAAUGGAUGUGAUGGAGCCAUUGGAUGUUGUCUUCCCACACAAUGAGGCACGUAGAACCGUGUCCUUCACCUGGCCCUCCAACAACCCUAGAAUGCCUUAUUUGAAGGGAGUGGACGUGGACUGGAAACCGGCCAACAGAAGCAUUUCUCAACAGGAAAGCCAUGUAUGCUCAUUGUUCUGCCAGCAUCUCAGCCGCAUACUGACGCACAGCAGAGAGGGCAAAGAAUAAGGGGAGUGUGCCUGCCAAACCACAAGGGGGGCAGGGCCAAGGGAGCCUAUGGUGUUAGGAAGACAAAUCCGUGGCGGCCUGCAUUGUGGCCUGGCAGCCACAUGGACUCCAUGAAAACAGCCUUUCACUGAGUGAACAGCGCCAGCUUACCCAGACUCCUGGUAACCCUCCCCUGUGACACAGAGCAUGAGAGCCUCAUUUGUUCUCUGGGCCUAUGGUGGGUAACAGGAGACGGGAGGUCCUGAGGCCCUGGAGCCUUCCCCUGACAAGCACAGUACUCUAUAGAGCCCCUCUGAGGAGGCUGGGGGACCAGAGAUAAAGUAGGGGCCUUCUGCUACAGUGGCCUUGGGGUUGGGAGUGACUUAUUUGAAUGGUCUGUCACACUACAGGGCCAAACUGGAAACCAACUACAUCUUCAUAUCUGUGAAGGAUGCAGUGAGAUGAAAGUCGAGACGUAUCUCCGGCACAGUGGCCUUCAUCCACUCAAUGAGUGCCCUGGGUGAUUCAGUCAAGGUGUGGAAGAAGGAGGUCACUGUUCCUAUGGAGCAGGGAGCGAGUUACUCAAGACUUCAGAGCUCGGAAGACCCUUUUAAGAGUACAGAUGCUGGCUUCCCCAUUAAUCUACAGAUGGUCAUUCUUAUCUUUUGAAGCCUUCUAGAAGCAGGGCACUCACAACUAUUCCACUGGUAAUCUUCUUUCUGGUAAAUAUAUUGGGACCAAGAUGGCACCUGCUUACAGGACAAAGUUAUUUACUGCAUUGGUUCCCGGGCUUGUGCUUUCUGGCUAGAAAGUCUUUGUAGCCUAAAAUAAGAAUGAAACAGGCUGCUCAAUGUGCAUUAUCAUUGCCCCUUCUAGAUCAUCUGUAAUUAUGCCAUGGCUGAAUCUCAGAGACCACUGUGGGAUGCAUGUAUGGUCUGAGCCACUGCUAGGACAAAGCCAGCAAUGCUGUGAGUGAGGCUCCAUUCUGCAUCUACCCAUGCUCCCCUUCUGUUUCACUGGAACAGCCUGUCUGGACAACACCAUUAGUGCAGAGAUGACUUGCAGAUCUGACUUGAACUUCAUACCUGUUUAUCCAUCUCUGUGUCAGAUAGCUUGGUCUGGAUGUUACAGCCACCUCAAAUCACACACACGCCUCUUCCACCCUCCCUUCACCUUCCCUCCAAAAUUCCUCCUCCUCCAGUAUCCCACCUCUUAGCAAGUGGGUCUCACUGUCCACACAGCUGGCCAAGGAAGACAUCUGAGAUUCCUUUUCAAAAUAUACUUCUCCCACCCCCCACGCCCUUGGUCUGCAACUCCAGUCAAUGCUGUCUUCCAGUGAGCUCUCAUGUUUCCUCUCCCUCCAAUUCCUAAGGCUCCCACUUUGCCCCAGUUCUCACAACGCCCCUGGGCUCCUGUGUCUUCCCUACACAGCACAUUUUCCUCACUGCUGCCAAAAGGAUCUUCCAAGGUACAGUCCAAUUGUGUCCUAUACCAGCUUAGAAGUCUGCAUGGUGGUCUGCUUCCACACUGAGCUAACGACCAGUGUCUUCAACAUCGUUCUCCAGAGCCAUUUUCCCUCUGGCCCCUGCCCCCCUCUCUGGUUUCUCCACAACCCCUGGGCAUGCCUCCUCUGCAGCCACAGGGACCCUCAGCUCCACAUCCCACCAGGUUGCUUGCCCCUUUGAGCUUUGCCCUGAGCAUCUUGGAGAGCUCUGUCCUAAUUCUUAGCCUGACUAACUCCCACCUUCCCAAUGUCACCCUGAGAAGUCUUCUGAGACCCCUUCCGACCCACCACCCCAACCAUGAAGUGAAGGGUCCUUCCCGGACUUCUAGAACACCGUGUACACCUACCAUACUAUGCUGUGGUUACUGAUUUUCUUGUCUCCUUCACAGAAAAGUGUCUUUCCUCUUUGCCUCACUAGUGCCUACCUAGUAGGCUCUGACUUCACAGGUUUACUAAAACAAAUGCAGAAGCGGUUAUGCUAGGUCAUGAAUGCAAAGUCAGAUUCUCACCCUGAGAGACUGUGAGAAUAAGUUGAAAUUUUGCAAAGAGGGUUAUUUACUUUCCAACGUGAGCAUGGCAAGGUGUGUACACUUUUCCUUGGCACACUUAGAGUUAAUCCGUGAAACUCUGUGUAUCUUUCAUGAAUUAUGUAUCUGCACCAAUAAAAACCAGUGAAGAUGAA